GACGAACGCUGGCGGCGUGCUUAACACAUGCAAGUCGAACGGAAAGGCCCUGCUUGCAGGGUACUCGAGUGGCGAACGGGUGAGUAACACGUGGGUGAUCUGCCCUGCACUUCGGGAUAAGCUUGGGAAACUGGGUCUAAUACCGGAUAGGAGCCAUCUUUAGUGUGGUGGUUGGAAAGUUUUUUCGGUGUAGGAUGAGCUCGCGGCCUAUCAGCUUGUUGGUGGGGUAAUGGCCUACCAAGGCGGCGACGGGUAGCCGGCCUGAGAGGGUGUACGGCCACAUUGGGACUGAGAUACGGCCCAGACUCCUACGGGAGGCAGCAGUGGGGAAUAUUGCACAAGGGGCGCAAGCCUGAUGCAGCGAAGCCGCGGGGGGGAUGAAGGCCUUCGGGUUGUAAACUCCUUUCGCUAGGGACGAAGCUUUUUGUGACGGUACCUAGAUAAGAAGCACCGGCUAACUACGUG
This 465-nucleotide ribosomal RNA is filed under the name uncultured bacterium. RNAcentral describes it as "partial 16S ribosomal RNA". It matches the Rfam family "Bacterial small subunit ribosomal RNA", at positions 28 to 507 of the family's 1533-position model. The record is from RNAcentral.